RNAcentral lists this ribosomal RNA (456 nucleotides) under uncultured bacterium. RNAcentral describes it as "bacterial SSU rRNA". It matches the Rfam family "Bacterial small subunit ribosomal RNA", at positions 28 to 473 of the family's 1533-position model. The record is from RNAcentral.
GAUGAACGCUAGCGAUAGGCUUAACACAUGCAAGUCGAGGGGCAGCAUGGUCUUAGCUUGCUAAGACUGAUGGCGACCGGCGCACGGGUGCGUAACGCGUAUGCAACUUGCCUCACAGAGGGGGAUAACCCGUCGAAAGACGGACUAAUACCGCGUACACUUGGGAUAGGGCAUCCUAACCCAAGGAAAUGAAAUUCGCUGUGAGAUAGGCAUGCGUCCCAUUAGCUAGUUGGUGAGGUAACGGCUCACCAAGGCGACGAUGGGUAGGGGAACUGAGAGGUUGAACCCCCACACUGGUACUGAGACACGGACCAGACUCCUACGGGAGGCAGCAGUGAGGAAUAUUGGUCAAUGGGCGAGAGCCUGAACCAGCCAAGUCGCGUGAAGGAUGACUGUCUUAUGGAUUGUAAACUUCUUUUAUACGGGAAUAACAAGAGUCACGUGNGACUCCCUGCA